Olea europaea var. sylvestris is the source of this 2303-nucleotide long non-coding RNA. RefSeq lists it as uncharacterized. The transcript is spliced from 3 exons. The record is from RefSeq and is a predicted model, not a curated record. NCBI's taxonomy places the organism in Eukaryota, Viridiplantae, Streptophyta, Magnoliopsida, Lamiales, Oleaceae.
AAUUACAAUUCGGUCCGUGACUUUGUUUUAUGCGAUCGCAUAUUGUUAAUCUAUACGGUCGCAUAAGUCAUUUGAUUUGCCUCCUGAAAUUCCCUGUCGGUAUACAUGCGGCUGCAUGGAAUUAUAACUAUGCGGUCGCAUAGUUCACAUUGCUGCUUCCAACUUCCAUUGCUCGUAUCAUAUUAAUCCAAGUCUCUUCAGUCUUCGACCCCAAUAUGAAACUUGCUCCAUUUUGCGUCCCGAACAUGAUUUCAUCAAUAGUGGCUUUGACGAGCAACCCCAUCACCUCUUUAACUCGUUUCGCUCUAGAUCGUGUCAUCGGGCCUUCUUCAAUAAUCAAUGGGUCUUAACUCGACCUUACCUUCGUGACCCCCGCAUCUUGGAUUAACUACAUUUUAAUCGAUACAUUGAGCAGUUCAAGGUAGAUCGAGAGUGAAAAACAAAAAGUACGCAAGCAACCGUAAAGGAGGAGGAUUUGAAAGUAAACAUUACUAAAAAUGUCGCUUGAAAAGCUAGAAGAUAUGCGAAGCAACUGAUAAGUGGGAAUAAAGAACAGUUUGUGUUGCUAAUGUCGUAUGCAGCUGAGGUAUUGAGGACCAAUCCAGGAUCCACAGUGAUGAUAGGACUUAGUGGGCAGGUGUUUCAAGGUAUAUACAUCUAUUUUAGUGCUUACAAAUUAAGGUUUUAACAUGGGUGUAGAAAAAUCAUUGGAGUGGAGGGAUGCCAUUUUCGGGGUGUUUGGCCUGGUAUACUAUGUAAAUGAUUGUAUCUAUCCUAUUUCAUAUGCCGUUGUCCAGAAGGAGAAACUGUUGCUUCGAGAUGGUUUUUAAAAUAUUUGGCUGAGGAAAAUUAGAUGGAAAAUGGGUUGAUUGGACUGUGAUGACAGAUAGGCAAAAGGGAUUAAGUAAUGUCGUUGAUGAAUUAUUUCCAGAGAUGGAGCAUAUGUUCUGUGUUAGGCAUAUGUAUACAAAUUUUCUCAAUAGGAAUUUUAGGGGAAGACUUUGAAGGUCUUGUUUUGGCGGGCUGCUAAGUCUACUACCUUACCUAAGUUAGAAUGUGGAUGCAACAAAUUUGUCAAGUUAGUGAAGAAGUGUAUACAUGGCUGAACGAGAGGCAACAGGGCGAGUGGAGUAAAUCUCAUUUCAGGAAACACUUGAAGAUUGACAUUUUAUUGAAUAAUUUGUGUGAAGUUUUCAAUAAAAUGCUGAUAAAGGAUAGGGAGAAGUUCAUUGUAAUGAUGUUGGCAGAUAUGUAGUUGGGGUUUAUGAUUAGGAUUGAGAAGCAUCAAAGUAAGACAAGAAAGUACGAAGGGUGAUUGUAUCAAAGGACUAAAAACAGCUUGCUAAGAUCACUGAGAUGUCCAAUGAAUGCACAUUACAUUUUUCAGGAAGACCUCGAUGGCAGGUGGACUGUAGGUUAUAGACCUAUGUCGUUGACUUGGAAGAACGAAGUUGUGCAUGUAGGAGGUGGAACUUGAUGAGAAUACCACGUAAUCAAACCUUGGUCGUGAUAUGGGAGUGUAGAAAUGAUCUCGACGAUUAUGUGGAUAACUGUUACACAAUCGAAACAUACUUGAGAUGCUAUAAUAACAUCUUGAAUCCUAUUAACGGAAUACGAUUAUGGUCCCAAUUGGAUACUGUACCCAUCAUUCCACUCUCAUGGACUACUUUCACGAAGGGGGAGAAAGCAAAAAAAAAAAAAAAAUUGAGGAGACAAGCGGACGAAGAUAUUAUCGCACAGUAUCAAGAGGAAUCGCAUUUUAGGAGAAAAGGAAGAGUAUUGAUGACAAGCUCACUAUGUGGACUAAAAAGACACUACAAAAGAUAUUACUCUAAGCCUAAUGUACCGAGUUUUGACUGUAUGAAGGAUUGUUGGAGUCAGUUGAUAGUGGAAGGCACGUGACAGAGGAGGUUUGGAGACAUGCCAUGGAAAUGGAGCAGGUUCAAGUCACGCACAUGAGAAAGUUGAAAAUUUUCAAUUCAUGCCAACGUCAGGCUUCCAGCAUCAAUCUGAAAUAUUUUUAAGUUCAUUCCCACCCCCACUAAUCAUUCCUAGUGUUGGGAAAUCCAAUUUUUGAAGAAAAUAGGAACCUGUUUGUGUAGUGUUUCAUGUAUUUUGUGCUAUUAUAUUGGCAUGUGUAGUUGAUGUACAUAGGUAACUACGGGUGAUGGUUUGGAGGGUGUCCUUAUGAUGGUGUGGAUGGUGUUUUUGUCGUUGUGAUAGUGUCCAAUUUUUGUGUUUCUGCAGGUUUACUUUUGGAUAUAAAGGCAGCUAUAAUUUGAUAUUUAAUGCUAAAUGUUUUA